RNAcentral lists this ribosomal RNA (408 nucleotides) under uncultured bacterium. Its description in RNAcentral is "bacterial SSU rRNA". It matches the Rfam family "Bacterial small subunit ribosomal RNA", at positions 355 to 794 of the family's 1533-position model. The record is from RNAcentral.
UCAAGAACCUUCCGCAAUGGGCGAAAGCCUGACGGAGCGACGCCGCGUGGUUGAUGAAGUCCUUCGGGACGUAAACCUUUUAUGACUAAGAUCUGGUCGUGAAUAAGGGGCUCCAAACUCUGUGCCAGCAGGAGCGGUAAUACAGAGGCCCCAAGCGUUAUCCGGAAUCACUGGGGUAAAGGGUGUGUAGGUGGUUUUAUUAGUCUUUUGUAAAACCCACGGCCUAACCGUGGAAAUGCGAAAGAUACGGUAAGACUAAGGAUGCGAGAGGUAUAUGGAACUCAUGGAGUAGGGGUGAAAUCCGUUGAUAUCAUGGGGAACACCAAAAGCGAAGGCAAUAUACUGGCGCAUUCCUGACACUGAAACACGAAAGCGUGGGGGGAGAACAGGAUUAGAUACCCGGGUAGU